Molecule: transfer RNA, 70 nt
Filed under: Toxocara canis (dog roundworm)
Lineage: Eukaryota; Metazoa; Nematoda; Chromadorea; Rhabditida; Toxocaridae
Rfam family: tRNA
About the family: Transfer RNA (tRNA) molecules are approximately 80 nucleotides in length. Their secondary structure includes four short double-helical elements and three loops (D, anti-codon, and T loops). Further hydrogen bonds mediate the characteristic L-shaped molecular structure. tRNAs have two regions of fundamental functional importance: the anti-codon, which is responsible for specific mRNA codon recognition, and the 3' end, to which the tRNAs corresponding amino acid is attached (by aminoacyl-tRNA synthetases). tRNAs cope with the degeneracy of the genetic code in two manners: having more than one tRNA (with a specific anti-codon) for a particular amino acid; and 'wobble' base-pairing, i.e. permitting non-standard base-pairing at the 3rd anti-codon position.
Source: Rfam by way of RNAcentral
CGAGCAGUAGCUCAGUGGUAGCCCCCGCUUCAUAUGCGGGAAGACCUAGGUUCGAUUCCCCGCUGUUUAC